GGUCGUUUAGCUCAGUUGGGAGAGCAUCGCCCUUACAAGGCGAGGGUCGCUGGUUCAAGCCCAGCAACGACCA
This 73-nucleotide transfer RNA is filed under the name Celerinatantimonas diazotrophica. It matches the Rfam family "tRNA". Rfam says of the family: Transfer RNA (tRNA) molecules are approximately 80 nucleotides in length. Their secondary structure includes four short double-helical elements and three loops (D, anti-codon, and T loops). The record is from Rfam by way of RNAcentral. Lineage: Bacteria; Pseudomonadati; Pseudomonadota; Gammaproteobacteria; Celerinatantimonadaceae.